UUUGCCGUAACGCACACGGCUAUGAUAAAAACAAAAGGUUUUUGUAUUGUUUGAAGUGAUCAGAAGAAAAUUUGUUUUACAUUUUGAGGGAAAUUUCAAUACACAAAAUGUAGUAGCACUUUCCAAAAAUGUGCUUGCUUUAAACGCAUUUUCUUCUGAAGGCAAGAAAAUCAUGAUUUUUGUUUACUUUGAAAUAAUACCAAAUUGAUUUGUAAUCGUUUAACUUGAUCAUUUGAUGACUUUUGAUUGCAGAAAAUGGUCAGAUAAUUAUGUUGCUACCAAUUAAUUAAUAAUGUUUAAAUUCCAGAAACACAUCUUUCAGUGCACAUUGAAUUCUUUUUAAACAGCCAAACAUAUAAUUGGGGCUGGUAUAGCUAUACGGUAUGGGUUUGUCUCAUGGUUGAUGUCGUACGGUUGCUUAUAAUUGCUUACAUCCAUUUCAAUUAAUCUUGGUGGAUAUUUGUCUCAUUAGCAAUCAUACCAUAUCUUAAAUGAUCAUGUAACCAAAUACUUAAUUUGCUGAGCAGUAUUAUGUUGAAUGCAUUUUAAUUCAUUGCGUCAAUAAAUUGCUUUAAAAACUUAAAUAUCACAUACUUUUAUGUUCUCUUUUUCAGCUUAUAUUUAUAGUACUGAUCGUGGAUUUCCUUCCACUAUGUGUAAGCUUAGUAUUUCAAAAUGCUGAAGAAGAACGGCCAAAUUUGUUAGUAAUUGAAGACGAUGCCUGAGAAACUUUUAUAGGAAACUUUUUUGGAAACGGCUUUGGAUCUAUUUUUUCCCUACUUUUUUUCCAAUCUUUGAUUACGGUACCUAUGAUGGCUAUGAUGGGAAUGAUGAUUCCCAGUACAACAACUAGUGUCAGUCAGGUAACUUUGACUCCAACAAUGCAAGCCUUAUCAACAACGCAAACCUCAUCAACAACAAAUACACCAUGUAUUCAAACAAAUUGCCCUAAUGGUUAUGUGUUGCUUACUGACCAAAAUGCUAGCCCUAAUUGUUACCUGUAUAGUG
Mytilus californianus (California mussel) is the source of this 1008-nucleotide long non-coding RNA. RefSeq lists it as uncharacterized. The transcript has 3 exons. The record is from RefSeq and is a predicted model, not a curated record. NCBI's taxonomy places the organism in Eukaryota, Metazoa, Mollusca, Bivalvia, Mytilida, Mytilidae.